RNAcentral lists this long non-coding RNA (1859 nucleotides) under Calidris pygmaea (Spoon-billed sandpiper). RNAcentral's name for it is "lncRNA (ENSCPGG00000008508.1)". The record is from RNAcentral. Lineage: Eukaryota; Metazoa; Chordata; Aves; Charadriiformes; Scolopacidae.
AUUUUCACCUAGCAAGUGCAAGGUGUACAGGCAGAGAUGAGAUCGGUGUGUGCUCGGUUUUUUUAUUUCAGACUUUUUUAGCAUAAGUCAAGCAGCUUUGAACAAUUCUCCUUUGACUCAUUAACUGUCAAAAGCAAAUGUAGAUGGGAGGCGUAAAACUGUUUCUUUCAGAAAAGAAGAGUAUAGCUGCAAUAUAGUCUUUCUCCAUAUGGAAGCAUCCUUCAGAAGAAUCCAGGCUUAUACAUAAGCAGGCGCUGACACAUUACAUGAUGUACUUAUAAUAAGACAGGGAAAUAUAUAGAGAACAUUUCAGUUGCCUAAACAUGAAGUGCCAUUUGAGAUAUGGUUGACUCAUCUCAUCUCCUGGUACCUCACCAGGUCUCCAGCUUGUGACCCAGGGAAGUUUUGUCAUAUCUUGUGUAAACGUGCCACCUGUCCUAGGAUAUCUCAAAUGGCACAAGGUACUUAUGCUUAGACUCAUCUACAUGAGGUAAGCCCAUGUAGAUGAAAAUAGCAUAAAGUUUGUUCCUAGCUGGUUGAAAUACAACCUCUAGAGACACGUUAGGCCUGAAGGUUGCAUUAAGAGUCCUUGUGCACAAAGUGCUAGUUUUAGAAUCCUAAUCUGUAAUUUUUUAUAAAAUGUGAACGAUGGAAUAAAAGUUAUGCUUAUUACAUUUUCAGACUAUGCCUCAUGGAAGAUACUGUGAGCAUUUUGGAGUGGAUGGUGGUAAACGAGUGCUUAAAAUGGAGAAGACAAGCUUUCUCCCUGACUUUUGCAUGUGCUGCUGCAGUUUGGGAAGGAGAUGGCAACUAACAGAGGUGAGCAAUAGAAAGGCUGAUUUUCUUAAAAUCUUGGUGGGGGGGUGGUGUGGAGGGGGUGGUUGGAAUUCACCUGAGGGUGCUGGUGCAGUGACUAUGAGGCUGCUGUCUGUCAUUUAUCAAAACUCAUGACGGUGAGGGAGUCAGGGAAGCAAGACUGGGUACCCCCACCCUGCAUUCGCAGUGGAUGGCUUUCGUGGGCAAGGGUUUGCUCUAGUCUCCUUGCAUGGAUCCUCAACUGAGCUGAUUUAGUACCAUGAAUAAUAAUUUCUUGUGGUUCUUUUCUUCCCCCUAGCCCACGUAUUGCUCUUUGGAUUUUUCAGUGACUCAUUUCUAAUAGACUAAGAUUGUUAGAGUUACAUUCUAGUGACAAGAUAUGUGAGUUUUGGUUGAUUUCUCCUAACACAGGAAGGUCUAGGAAAUGUUAUCUUUUGAAGGGAGAGACUGGAUUUUCACCUUCACGGGCUCUUUACAGUGAUUCUCAUUAGAUUCUUCCUUAGAAUUAGCAGACUGCUACAACAAUUGAGUAGCCCAAAUUGGAAGAGAUUUUACUUUUUAACAUGCAAGUUGAACAUCAGAUGUGGGGUGUUUCUGAUGUAAUCUGGGCCCUAUGGAGGCAAGGGGCGAUUGUUAGCUGAGUUGGAUUAUUGGAAUUAAUAGAUCCUAUGCACACUUUAAAACUUCUUAUAGCUUCUUUCACACUUACCUGGAAAGCCGUAUCCAAGCCACUUGAACAGCAUCACAAAAUCUUUUUGCAGCAUCUUGCAGCUAUUUGAGGAAUAUGUUAAUGCUUCUUCUAGGUCAUGUGAAAGUCGUGUCUGACAAAACCCUGAUUUUGGGAAUUGCAUUUUUUCCUGUGCGACUGAGCCAAAACAAUGUGCCUACAAUGUUUUAUGUUAAUAGAGUAUCUGGCCUAAUAUGUCUAUUUCUGGCACACACAGAGUAGAGGCUGUGUGUCCUUUAUGCUGUGGCGUGACUGUCAUCUUUGCUUAACGCUCCUUGCAAAUAAAUGCCCCAAACCAGAGAAAAGAAUGGGCUGA